RNAcentral lists this unclassified non-coding RNA (339 nucleotides) under soil metagenome. RNAcentral describes it as "partial contains 5.8S ribosomal RNA, internal transcribed spacer 2, and large subunit ribosomal RNA". The stretch from base 1 to 120 matches the Rfam family "5.8S ribosomal RNA", at positions 35 to 154 of the family's 154-position model. The record is from RNAcentral.
GAUGAAGAACGUAGUGAAAUGCGAUACGUAGUGUGAAUUGCAGAAUUCAGUGAAUCAUCGAAUCUUUGAACGCACAUUGCACCUCUCGGUAUUCCGGGAGGUAUGCCUGUUCGAGCGUCAUUUGUACCCUCAAGCUCUGCUUGGUGUUGGGUGUUUGUUCCGCCUCUGUGUGUGAACUCGCCUCAAAACAAUUGGCAGCCGGCGUACUUGUUUCGGAGCGCAGCACAUUUUGCGAUCCAGAUCAACGUACAGCGGCAUCCAAGAAGCCUUAUUUAACGCUCUUGAUCUCGGAUCAGGUAGGGAUACCCGCUGAACUUAAGCAUAUCAAUAAGCGGAGGA